RNAcentral lists this ribosomal RNA (510 nucleotides) under Munidopsis mandelai. RNAcentral's name for it is "partial large subunit ribosomal RNA". It matches the Rfam family "Bacterial large subunit ribosomal RNA", at positions 1829 to 2597 of the family's 2925-position model. The record is from RNAcentral. Lineage: Eukaryota; Metazoa; Arthropoda; Malacostraca; Decapoda; Munidopsidae.
GUCUGUAUGAAGUUAUAUAAAGUCUGGCCUGCCCAUUGAAUUUUGAAAGGCCGCGGUAUUUUAACUGUGCAAAGGUAGCAUAAUAAUUAGUUUUUUAAUUGAAGGCUUGAAUGAAAGGUUGGACAAAGAAAGAUCUGUCUUUAGUAUUUAUUUUGAAUUUUACAUUUAAGUGAAAAGGCUUAAAUAAAUUUAAGGGACGAUAAGACCCUAUAAAUCUUUACACUUAUUAGUUUUUAUCAGUUUAGAAUGUGAAUUGGUUAAAUACACACUAUGUGUUUUAUUGGGGUGAUAGAGAUAUAAUAAUUAACUGUUUUGAAUAGGAAUCAAAUAUAAUUGAUUAGAAAAAGAGAUCCUUUUUAGAGAUUAAAAGUUUAAGUUACUUUAGGGAUAACAGCGUAAUUUUUUUUGAGAGUCCACAUCGAAAGAAAAGUUUGCGACCUCGAUGUUGAAUUAAAAUUUCUUUGUAGAGCAGAAGCUAUAAAAGAAAGUCUGUUCGACUUUUAAAUUUUU